UUGUUUAUCAAAAACAUGUCCUAUUGUUUAAUUAAUAUUAGGUCUGACCUGCCCAAUGAAAAAUUUUUAAUGGCCGCAGUAUUUUAACUGUGCAAAGGUAGCAUAAUCAUUUGUCUUUUAAUUGGAGGCUUGAAUGAAUGGUUGGACGAGGGAUUAACUUUUUUUACUUUAUUUUUAUGAAUUUAAUUUUUUAGUCAAAAAGCUUAAAUUUUUUUGUUAGACGAGAAGACCCUAUAGAAUUUUAAUUUAUUUAUUAUUUAGGUUAUUAAGAUUUUUUAUAUUUGGUUAAUAAAUAAAUUUUUGUUGGGGUGAUGAUGAAAAUUAAGUAACUUUCAUUAAUAUUAUUUCAUUGAUUUAUGUUUAUUUUGAUCCUUUAUUAUGGAUUACAAGAUUAAAUUACCUUAGGGAUAACAGCGUAAUUCUUUCGGAGAGUUCAUAUCGAUGAAUGGAGUUUGCGACCUCGAUGUUGGAUUAAAGUAAGUAUUAGGUGCAGAAGCUUAAUUACUAAGUCUGUUCGACUUUUAAAUCUUUACAUGAUCUGAGUUCAAACCGGAG
Molecule: ribosomal RNA, 555 nt
Filed under: Liorhyssus sp. WCW-2003
Lineage: Eukaryota; Metazoa; Arthropoda; Insecta; Hemiptera; Rhopalidae
Description: partial 16S ribosomal RNA
Rfam family: Bacterial large subunit ribosomal RNA
Source: RNAcentral